AACUCACCAGGUCAGGACACGGUAAGGAUUGACGGACUGAAGGCUCUUUCUCGAUUCCGUGGAAAGUGGUGCAUGGCCGUUUUUGGUUGGUGGAUCGAUCCGUCUGGUUAAUUCCGUUAACGAACGAGACCUCGGCACUCCGAAUAGCGCGGCGGACGUCGCGGCCUCCGGGCCGUCUUCCGCACGAGCUUCUUAGAGGGACCGUCCCCCGCCGGGGAAGGAGGUGCGAGGCAACGACAGGUCUGUGAUGCCCUUAGAUGUUCUGGGCCGCACGCGCAUUACACUGACGCGUCCAACGGGUGACUCCCGACCCGAAGGGGCCGGGGAAUCCGCAAGGCGCGUCGUGAUGGGGAUUGAACGUUGCAAUUGUUGUUCACGAACGAGGAAUUCCUAGUAGGCGCGGGUCAUCAACCCGCGCCGAUUACGUCCCUGCCCUUUGUACACACCGCCCG
This 452-nucleotide ribosomal RNA is filed under the name uncultured eukaryote. Its description in RNAcentral is "bacterial SSU rRNA". It matches the Rfam family "Eukaryotic small subunit ribosomal RNA", at positions 1212 to 1675 of the family's 1831-position model. The record is from RNAcentral.